UGGGGAAUAUUGGACAAUGGGCGAAAGCCUGAUCCAGCCAUGCCGCGUGUGUGAAGAAGGUCUUCGGAUUGUAAAGCACUUUAAGUUGGGAGGAAGGGCAGUAAGCGAAUACCUUGCUGUUUUGACGUUACCGACAGAAUAAGCACCGGCUAACUCUGUGCCAGCAGCCGCAGUAAUACAGAGGGUGCAAGCGUUAAUCGGAAUUACUGGGCGUAAAGCGCGCGUAGGUGGUUCGUUAAGUUGAAUGUGAAAGCCCCGGGCUCAACCUGGGAAAUGCAUCCAAAACUGGCGAGCUAGAGUAGGGCAGAGGGUGGUGGAAUUUCCUGUGUAGCGGUGAAAUGCGUAGAUAUAGGAAGGAACACCAGUGGCGAAGGCGACCACCUGGGCUCAUACUGACACUGAGGUGCGAAAGCGUGGGGAGCAAACAGG
This 429-nucleotide ribosomal RNA is filed under the name Pseudomonadota bacterium. RNAcentral's name for it is "Proteobacteria bacterium partial 16S ribosomal RNA". It matches the Rfam family "Bacterial small subunit ribosomal RNA", at positions 355 to 776 of the family's 1533-position model. Lineage: Bacteria; Pseudomonadati; Pseudomonadota. The record is from RNAcentral.